This 201-nucleotide long non-coding RNA is filed under the name Sorghum bicolor (sorghum). Its description in RNAcentral is "long non-coding RNA (SBIC_LNC012377)". Lineage: Eukaryota; Viridiplantae; Streptophyta; Magnoliopsida; Poales; Poaceae. The record is from RNAcentral.
UCGGAGUGCGGAAGAUUUAUAACUCAAUUUACAACAUAUGAUGGAAUAUAAACAACUAAAUUUCCAAAAGGUGUGUAGAGUAGCGGAAGCAUCUUAGGUGAAGCUUCUAAGGUAGAAGAGGUGGAUAAAUCAUGUCGCGCCCACCGACAUGACCUCCAUUAGCAGCAUAAGUCAGCACCUGCAACAGGGGUUAUAAAACCC